Salmo salar (Atlantic salmon) is the source of this 54-nucleotide non-coding RNA. The record is from Rfam. NCBI's taxonomy places the organism in Eukaryota, Metazoa, Chordata, Actinopteri, Salmoniformes, Salmonidae.
GGUGUACCAACUUGUGAGUCGCUCUGGAUAAGAGCGUCUGCUAAAUGACGUAAA